This 1449-nucleotide ribosomal RNA is filed under the name Triticum aestivum (bread wheat). RNAcentral describes it as "partial small subunit ribosomal RNA". The record is from RNAcentral. Lineage: Eukaryota; Viridiplantae; Streptophyta; Magnoliopsida; Poales; Poaceae.
AUGGCGUACGCGGCGAGCACGCCGGCGGUGCCGGACUGGCUGAACAAGGGUGACAACGCGUGGCAGCUGACGGCGGCGACGUUCGUGGGCAUCCAGUCCAUGCCGGGCCUGGUGGUCCUCUACGGCAGCAUCGUGAAGAAGAAGUGGGCCGUCAACUCCGCCUUCAUGGCGCUCUACGCCUACGCCUCCUCGCUCCUGGUGUGGGUGCUGGUGGGGUUCCGCAUGGCGUUCGGCGAGCGGCUGCUGCCCUUCUGGGGCAAGGCGGGCGUGGCGCUGACGCAGGACUACCUCGUCGGCCGCGCCAAGCUGUCGGCGACGGAGCGGGGGAGCACGCCGCUCGUGGAGCCCUUCUACCCGGAGGCGACGCUGGUGAUGUUGCAGUUCGAGUUCGCCGCCAUCACGCUCAUCCUGCUGGCGGGCUCCGUGCUGGGGCGCAUGAACAUCAAGGCCUGGAUGGCCUUCACGCCGCUCUGGCUCAUGCUCUCCUACACCGUCGGCGCCUUCAGCCUCUGGGGCGGCGGCUUCCUUUACCACUAGGGCGUCAUCGACUACUCGGGCGGCUACGUCAUCCACCUCUCCUCCGGCAUCGCCGGCUUCACCGCCGCCUACUGGGUGGGCCCGAGGCUGAAGAGCGACCGGGAGCGGUUCUCCCCGAACAACAUCCUGCUCAUGAUCGCCGGCGGCGGGCUGCUGUGGAUGGGGUGGGCCGGGUUCAACGGCGGCGCGCCCUACGCCGCCAACAUCACGGCGUCCGUGGCCGUGCUCAACACCAACGUCAGCGCGGCGACCAGCCUCCUCACCUGGACCUGCCUCGACGUCAUCUUCUUCGGCAAGCCGUCCGUCAUCGGCGCCGUCCAGGGCAUGAUGACCGGCCUCGUCUGCAUCACCCCCGGCGCAGGGCUGGUGCAGACGUGGGCGGCCGUGGUCAUGGGCAUCUUCGCCGGCAGCGUGCCGUGGUUCACCAUGAUGAUCCUGCACAAGAAGUCGGCGCUGCUGAUGAAGGUGGACGACACCCUGGCCGUCUUCCACACGCACGCCGUGGCGGGGCUCCUCGGCGGCAUCCUCACGGGGCUCCUGGCCACACCGGAGCUGAUGACGAUGGAGUCCUCGGUGCCGGGGCCCAAGGGCGCCUUCUACGGCGGCGGCAUCAAGCAGGUGGGCAAGCAGCUGGCCGGCGCGGCGUUCGUGAUCGUGUGGAACCUCGUGGUCACCACGCUCAUCCUGCUCGGCAUCGGGCUGUUCGUGCCGCUCCGGAUGCCCGACGACCAGCUCAUGAUCGGCGACGACGCCGCGCACGGGGAGGAGGCCUACGCGCUGUGGGGCGACGGCGAGAAGUUCGACGCCACGCGGCACGACGUGUCCAGGGGCGCCGGCGGCGAGAGGGAGAUGGGCACCGCGGAGCAGCGGCUCGCCGGCAUGGGAGCCAGGGGCGUCACCAUCCAGUUGUAG